GAAGCAAUGUGAAGAAAGGUGGUACUACAAUGUCACAUUGUAGGAUACUGGUGUGGUGGGGGACAAGUUGACAGCUGUCUGUGGGAAAAGUUUCAUCUCUUAGUUAUGUCUUUCAGAAGCAGUGGUGGUGCUUCCAGCAACGCUGUGCUAGAGAAAGGCAGGACCAUGAUGGAGUUUGUCCCCAGAGGCAAUGUGACUUGAAGGCACCACCUGAGCCUUGCAGCAUAACCCAUGGCUGAAGGGUGAGGGAAACUCAGCCAUUUCCUGCUUAGCAGAGAUGGAUCUACUUUUGUACAUGCCAGCAUGCUGAAGAAAAUGGAGGAAAUGGCAUUUUCUGAUGACAGCUCUAGUACCUACCCUGUGGAGCUGUAUGAGCUUUUUUUGAAAUUCAAGUUCACAGAGACAUAUCAAGAGCCAACAUUGAAAACAGCAAUAAUAAAAUAAACCCAAGUAGUUUACAGAAGGUUUACAUCUUAAAUACACAUUUGGAAGGCAGAAAAAAUUAGGCCAAGGAUUU
RNAcentral lists this long non-coding RNA (517 nucleotides) under Lonchura striata (white-rumped munia). Its description in RNAcentral is "domestica (Bengalese finch) lncRNA (ENSLSDG00000003340.1)". Lineage: Eukaryota; Metazoa; Chordata; Aves; Passeriformes; Estrildidae. The record is from RNAcentral.